This 497-nucleotide ribosomal RNA is filed under the name uncultured bacterium. RNAcentral describes it as "partial 16S ribosomal RNA". It matches the Rfam family "Bacterial small subunit ribosomal RNA", at positions 28 to 507 of the family's 1533-position model. The record is from RNAcentral.
GAUGAACGCUGGCGGCGUGCCUAAUACAUGCAAGUCGAGCGAACAGACGAGGAGCUUGCUCCUCUGACGUUAGCGGCAGACGGGUGAGUAACACGUGGAUAACCUACCUAUAAUACUGGGAUAACUUCGGGAAACCGGAGCUAAUACCGGAUAAUAUAUUGAACCGCAUGGUUCAAUAGUGAAAGACGGUUUUGCUGUCACUUCUAGCUGGAUCCGCGCCGCAUGAGCUAGUUGGUAAGGUAACGGCUUACCAAGGCGACGAUGCGUAGCCGACCGGUGUGGGUGAUCGGCCACACUGGAAGGGAGACACGGUCCAUACUCCUACGGGAGGCAGCAGUAGGGAAUCGGCCGCAAUGGGCGAAAGCCUGACGGAGCAACGCCGCGUGAGUUAUGAAGGUCUUCGGAUCGUAAAACUCGGUUAUUAGGGAAGAACAAAUGUGUAAGGAACUAUGCACGGCUUGACGGUACUUAAUCAGAAAGCCACGGCUAACUACGUG